RNAcentral lists this non-coding RNA (21 nucleotides) under Arabidopsis thaliana (thale cress). The record is from RNAcentral. Lineage: Eukaryota; Viridiplantae; Streptophyta; Magnoliopsida; Brassicales; Brassicaceae.
UUUCAUGCAAUCCAGGUGUUA